UUUGAUAUAGUUUAAUUUUAAAAAUGAAAAUUUUGUAAAUUUUUGAUCUAUUAGGUAUCUUAAUAAUAUAUUUAAU
Molecule: transfer RNA, 76 nt
Filed under: Paratomella rubra
Lineage: Eukaryota; Metazoa; Xenacoelomorpha; Acoela; Paratomellidae
Description: tRNA-Lys
Source: RNAcentral